UACGUAGGGGGCGAGCGUUGUCCGGAUUUAUUGGGCGUAAAGAGCUCGUAGGCGGUUUGGUAAGUCGGGUGUGAAAUCUCCACGCUCAACGUGGAGGGGCCACUCGAUACUGCCAUGACUCGAGUCCGGUAGAGGAGUGUGGAAUUCCCGGUGUAGCGGUGAAAUGCGCAGAUAUCGGGAGGAACACCAAUUGCGAAGGCAGCUCGCUGGGACGUUACUGACGCUGAGACGCGAAAGCGUGGGGAGCAAACAGG
This 254-nucleotide ribosomal RNA is filed under the name uncultured bacterium. RNAcentral describes it as "partial 16S ribosomal RNA". It matches the Rfam family "Bacterial small subunit ribosomal RNA", at positions 524 to 776 of the family's 1533-position model. The record is from RNAcentral.